Molecule: ribosomal RNA, 253 nt
Filed under: uncultured bacterium
Lineage: Bacteria
Description: partial 16S ribosomal RNA
Rfam family: Bacterial small subunit ribosomal RNA
Source: RNAcentral
UACGUAGGGGGCUAGCGUUGUCCGGAAUCAUUGGGCGUAAAGAGCGUGUAGGCGGCUUGGUAAGUCCGCUGUGAAAGUCCAGGGCUCAACCCUGGAAUGCCAGUGGAUACUGUCAAGCUAGAGUCCGGAAGAGGAAAGCGGAAUUCCUGGUGUAGAGGUGAAAUUCGUAGAUAUCAGGAGGAACACCGGUGGCGAAGGCGGCUUUCUGGACAGUAACUGACGCUGAGACGCGAAAGCGUGGGGAGCAAACAGG